Molecule: ribosomal RNA, 506 nt
Filed under: uncultured bacterium
Lineage: Bacteria
Description: partial 16S ribosomal RNA
Rfam family: Bacterial small subunit ribosomal RNA
Source: RNAcentral
AGUGAACGCUGGCGGUAGGCCUAACACAUGCAAGUCGAACGGCAGCACAGGAGAGCUUGCUCUCUGGGUGGCGAGUGGCGGACGGGUGAGGAAUACAUCGGAAUCUACCCUGUCGUGGGGGAUAACGUAGGGAAACUUACGCUAAUACCGCAUACGACCUACGGGUGAAAGCAGGGGAUCUUCGGACCUUGCGCGAUUGAAUGAGCCGAUGUCGGAUUAGCUAGUUAGCGGGGUAAAGGCCCACCAAGGCGACGAUCCGUAGCUGGUCUGAGAGGAUGAUCAGCCACACUGGAACUGAGACACGGUCCAGACUCCUACGGGAGGCAGCAGUGGGGAAUAUUGGACAAUGGGCGCAAGCCUGAUCCAGCCAUACCGCGUGGGUGAAGAAGGCCUUCGGGUUGUAAAGCCCUUUUGUUGGGAAAGAAAUCCAGCUGGCUAAUACCCGGUUGGGUUGACGGUACCCAAAGAAUAAGCACCGGCUAACUUCGUGCCAGCCGCCGCGGUAA